RNAcentral lists this long non-coding RNA (1109 nucleotides) under Struthio camelus australis. RNAcentral describes it as "lncRNA (ENSSCUG00000012335.1)". Lineage: Eukaryota; Metazoa; Chordata; Aves; Struthioniformes; Struthionidae. The record is from RNAcentral.
GAUGCCCACAUAGUUACAGGCGCUGCCCAGAUGGAGCAGGGAGGAAGGUGCAGAUGGGAAGCUCCCAGGGAGAAGGAAGAGGCAGUGCAGCCCAUGCUGAGAAACAACUGCAUAAAGGCAGCAUUUGGCCAGUGGGUUAAGCAAGAUGCCAAAGUCCUGGAUAUUUGUUUCUCUUCCUGACUGCAUCCUGCUUUGCUUUCCUCUAUGUCAGGAUCUGGUGGGUCUGUAAAGGCAGGAAAGGAACAGUGACUCAUAAAGGACACCCAUAAGAGCUAGUGUUCAUCCACCUCCUUCCUCCUGGGAGCUGCUGGGAAAUGGAAGGUGAAAGUCCCCUUUGGACUUGCGGAUCCUCAGCACAGCGUGGGCAAUGCUGUUGGAUAUCCUGAGGCACUGCUCCGCUCUUGCUCCUCAAUAAUCAGGCCAGCAAAGUGAGGAGGAACAAAGGGGCUGGCAGGGAUGUGGGCUAGAAAUCCAACUGCUGCAGCAUGAGGCCUCCCAAUGCUGGGGGAGGCUGGGAUCCUGUUGCUGAACUAUUUAUUUAAGGAAAAAAAAUAUUAUCAUUUCAGGCAUUGGCAGCUUUGGGUAUAUCAGCCAUUGUAUCAAAGAUGUGGUUUUAAUGCACUUUCCUCCACUUAAAUGUUAUUUGCCUUCUCCUUCAGGCAAUUGAAUUUAAGAAAACUCUGGUUGCCCAGGUUUUGUUGAACAAAUGUGUCCCUCUACGCACAAUUCCCAGGAGGAGCCAACUCUGCAGAAACUCUGGGAGCUGUCACUUUGGUGCAUCACUGGGAUGGGCUGAAUGGAUUACCCAGCUCUGCGUUGUCUGCUAUUUUAUCUGCCUCAAAGCAGUGGGAAGCCAGGAAUAAACCCCCGAGGUUCCUUUGAGCGCUGCGAUUUCUGGAGCCCAGGCAUUUUUAGCUCAGCCUUCAGGAGAAACUUGGUCAUUGGAGGAGGAUGCUGUAGUUGUUGGAAAAUUCAUCUGGGAUGACUCUGGCCACUGAUUUCCUGUGUGAUCUUGGUCAAGUCACCUAACGCCUAAAGGUAAGAGGCCCUUUACUCUGUUUUUUGUGGUUUAUUAGUCAUUUGAAAAUAAAGCUUUGGUCACUCUUCCU